This is a non-coding RNA of Brachypodium distachyon (stiff brome), 175 nucleotides long. NCBI's taxonomy places the organism in Eukaryota, Viridiplantae, Streptophyta, Magnoliopsida, Poales, Poaceae. The record is from Rfam.
UUGGUACUUACUCCGUCCAACAAAAGAUGUCUCAAUUUUGACUAAAUUUGAAUGCAUCUAUAAGGAUGUCUUAACUUUGACUAAAUUUGAAUGCAUUUAUAUACUAAGUCAUGUCUAAAUACAUUCAAAUUUUGACAAAGUUAAAACAUUUUUUGUUGGACGGAGUGAGUAAGAU